UACUCGAUGCCUGACCCCGUUGGUGGAGGAUCCAGCAGCAAGGAAGGUCCUCUCGUCGCGGGAGGAUACUCGGUGCUGCUCGUCCAACCUCCAUUCUGAGGUAAUCCACCGCCAUUCUGUAUCCAUCUUCAGAUCUGAACAUAUGUCCUCACCUGCUCACCACACUACUUGAGGCUUGUAGUCUGUUGCAAGCACUUCGGAUCAGUAAACAGCUCUUCUCUCCAUCAGAAUCAAGAUGGGCCCAUCGGUGAGUCAUUUGCCUGCCUAUUCUGGCCUACAGCAUCAAUCAUAGACACUCUCCCCUUAUGGGAACUCUCAUAGCGUUGUCAAUCAAAUGACUUAACCGUGUGAACACAAUUGCAGCCCUUCAUGAGGUUUGGAAUGAUCGCUCGGAAGCUUUGCUCGUUGGUUGGAGGUUCCAAAACACCUCCUACUCGUCCUUAUGAGACUAUCAAAAUGACCCCGUUUCGCCGGCUGUCAACAUUACCAUAUUGGGAUUCUGUUCCACUUAACCACCGAAUGUAUGUCGUUCUAUAUUAAUGUGCAUCUACACUCUAUCUUGUAUAUUCACUUGCUUUUCAUUUGAUAACUAUAAUUUGUUCUCAUUCUUGCUAAGCAGUAUUGUUGAAUCUAUUUUAACUCUGUUGUAAGCUUGUUGUGAUGGUGUUAUGGACUGAUUGCUGAAUUUAUGACCUAUCUAACUGGAUUGAUUGGCUUAAAUAAACCUUUCUUGAUAUAUGAG
Molecule: long non-coding RNA, 742 nt
Filed under: Triticum aestivum (bread wheat)
Lineage: Eukaryota; Viridiplantae; Streptophyta; Magnoliopsida; Poales; Poaceae
Description: long non-coding RNA (TAES_LNC024776)
Source: RNAcentral